This 1243-nucleotide ribosomal RNA is filed under the name metagenome. RNAcentral's name for it is "bacterial LSU rRNA". It matches the Rfam family "Bacterial large subunit ribosomal RNA", at positions 1564 to 2816 of the family's 2925-position model. The record is from RNAcentral.
UGAAUACGAGAUGCUACGGCGUCGAAGCAGUGUAUGUCAGACUUCCAAGAAAAGCUCGCAAUGUCAUAAAUAAAGAAUGCCUGUACCAUAACCGACACAGGUGGGUAGGUAGAGUAUACUAAGGGGCGCGAGAUAACUCUCUCUAAGGAACUCGGCAAAAUAACUCCGUAACUUCGGGAGAAGGAGUGCCUUCUAUUAGAAGGUUGCAAUAACAAGAUCCAAGAAACCGUUUAUCAAAAACACAGGUCUCCGCUAAGUCGUAAGACGAUGUAUGGGGGCUGACGCCUGCCCAGUGCCAGAAGGUUAAAGAAGUUGGUUAGCUUUGGCGAAGCUGAUGACUGAAGCCCUGGUGAACGGCGGCCGUAACAAUAACGGUCCUAAGGUAGCGAAAUUCCUUGUCGGGUAAGUUCCGACCCGCACGAAAGGCGUAAUGAUUUGGAUACUGUCUCGGAGAGGGACUCGGUGAAAUAGACUUGUCUGUGAAGAUGCGGACUACCUGCACCAGGACAGAAAGACCCUAUGAAGCUUUACUGUAACUUGAAAUUGAAAUUGGACUUUAUUUGCGCAGCAUAGGUGGAAGGCGUUGAGAUUACUCUUGCGGGAGUACUGGAGCCAUCAGUGAGAUACCACUCCUAUAAUGUUAGAUUUCUAACUUUGGAUCAUGAUCUGGUCAAAGAACAGUUUCAGGCGGGCAGUUUGACUGGGGCGGUCGCCUCCCAAAUGGUAACGGAGGCGUACAAAGGUUUCCUCUGAACGGGUAGAAAUCGUAUCUAGAGUGUAAAGGCAUAAGGAAGCUUGACUGUGAGACCUACAAGUCGAGCAGGGACGAAAGUCGGUCUUAGUGAUCUGACGGUGCUGAGUGGAAAGGCCGUCACUCAACGGAUAAAAGUUACUCUAGGAUAACAGGCUGAUCUCCCCCAAGAGUUCACAUCGACGGGGAGGUUUGGCACCUCGAUGUCGGCUCAUCGCAUCCUGGGGCGGUAGUACGUCCCAAGGGUUGGGCUGUUCGCCCAUGAAAGCGGUACGCGAGCUGGGUUCAGAACGUCGUGAGACAGUUCGGUCCAUAUCCGGUGUAGGCGUUAGAAUAUUGAGAGGAGCCUUCUUUAGUACGAGAGGACCGAGAAGGACAUACCUCUGGUGUACCAGUUAUCGUGCCAACGGUAAACGCUGGGUAGCUAUGUAUGGAGAGGAUAACCGCUGAAAGCAUCUAAGUGGGAAGCCCACCUCAAGAUGAGUAUUCUCA